GAGGACCGUAUCAUGGAAGAGGAUUGAACAGAGAUGAAGUAGACAGUAUGUUGGAUAAAUCUGGAGUAAAGAACCCAGCAAUUGGUAAAGAUGAGAAUAUAUCGCCUCAAGUAAAAGGAGAUGAAGACAUGGGAGAUGAAAUUGACAGUAUGUUGGCUACAUCUGGAGGUCUUUUCUCCUGAGAACACGGGACUCCAGCAUCUUCGGAUUCUGCUCUUGGAGGUGUGAGUCCCUGCCUCUCUGCACAGGGGAACUUAUGUCUCUCCACAUGUCCGCAAAUGUCUACCCAAGAUUAUACAUCUUCCAAAGGCUUUCAAAUACUUCUUUACAUAAACAAGGGGUUUGCCCCACAUCCUCUAUAUUGCAGAAAACAAGACUAGGCUCUACCUCUGUAGAUCAAGCACGACUGAAAUCCGUGCUCUCAAAAGAUGCUGGGGAGAAAGAGUGCCAUUCUUCACAAAUGCUGGAUCCUGCAGAUGUUCACCAUCUCAUGAGUAGGGCCUCAGAAGUCCCCCACCAUGCCAAAGGAUUCACAGACCUACCAAAUCUUUGAAAACCCCAUCAGAAAAGGCCCCUUCUGCCCAAGACUUGGAUAUUAAACAAAGUCAAAGAAGUAUCCUAGCCAUCAACAGUCAACCCAAACUGUUGGAAGAAGGAAUAUGUUUCUGCCUUGUCUCUCCCAAAUGAACACAAACUAUGAAAAUAUAAAACUCUGAAUCAGGAUUGGAAACUUAUGAUCAUCACUGGAAACAUUCUCCACUAUAUUAAGUACCAGGAUCUUUUACCUUGGACAGAAGUGUAUAUGGCAACUUCACAGUCUGCCUCAAGGAGAUUCUGUCCUCUCCUUGCAGUAGGGCCUAUGUGUGCAGCUGAACAGAGUGUUGAGGAGACGUCAGUGAUUUUAUAACUACUUAUCACGUUGGGAGAUUGUUGUGAUGAUUGCCUGGACUCUCAGAUGUUACACAGGCUGCAUCACUGGACUGAAAGUGAAUGGCCCAUGUGUUGCCACUGAUGUGAGCCAUUUGCCUGUUGUGCUUCAA
This 1040-nucleotide non-coding RNA is filed under the name Mus musculus (house mouse). The record is from RNAcentral. Lineage: Eukaryota; Metazoa; Chordata; Mammalia; Rodentia; Muridae.